Molecule: non-coding RNA, 203 nt
Organism: Paramuricea clavata
Lineage: Eukaryota; Metazoa; Cnidaria; Anthozoa; Malacalcyonacea; Plexauridae
Source: the annotation of a GenBank genome assembly
CCUGUUGUUCCAGUGAGAUUACCCAGCCAUGGGAAUAAAGUGUUUGAAAUACCACGGUAGGAUCAUACGAUUCCUGUCCAUAACAAGGCUGACUCAGAACUAAAAAAAAUAGUGGUAUGUUUACUAUUUAUUAGCAAUCUACAAUAAGUUCCUAUAGUUUGUGUCAAUAAUACCUGAACAAAUAUGAGCAAUUUAUGUUUUAG